GUAGUCUCGCACAGAUGCAUAUCAAUAAGCGGAGGAAAAGAAACUAACAAGGAUUCCCCUAGUAACGGCGAGUGAAGCGGGAAGAGCUCAAAUUUGAAAUCUUAAAGGGUUUCCCUUUACGAAUUGUAGUUUAAAGAAGUGUUUUCUGUUGAGGUUUUGGUAAAAGUUCUUUGGAAUAGGACAUCAUAGAGGGUGAGAAUCCCGUAUUUGACCUUUACUUUCAACUUUGUGAUACACUUUCAAAGAGUCGGAUUGUUUGGGAAUGCAGUCCAAAAUGGGUGGUAAAUUUCAUCUAAAGCUAAAUAUUGGCGAGAGACCGAUAGCGAACAAGUACCGUGAGGGAAAGAUGAAAAGAACUUUGAAAAGAGAGUUAAACAGUACGUGAAAUUGUCAAAAGGGAAGCGUUUGACACCAGUGUUGUUUUUCUGAAAAUCAAUUAAAGAACUGUUUAUGCUAAGCUGUUUAGACUUUAUCAGCUAACUGUUUAGUUUUGAGCUUUUACUUUAAUGCACUUUUCAGUUAACAAGUCAACAUCAAUUUCUUUUGCUGUAAAAAAGCUUGAGGAAGGUGGCUUGAGAUUCGUCUUAAGUGUUUAUAGCCUCUUGCCUAUGCAGUCGGAGAGAUUGAGGUCUGCAGCGUAGAUCCUUCGGGGCUAAAUGCAUUUGUGCUAAGUUAUAGCAUUUUAUAGACAACUUGUUGACUAUGAUUUGUCUUGUAGCUUACUCGCUUAUGUUAUUUUACCUACGCUUAGGAUGUUGACGCGCGUGUGUGCGUG
Molecule: ribosomal RNA, 775 nt
Filed under: uncultured Neocallimastigales
Lineage: Eukaryota; Fungi; Neocallimastigomycota; Neocallimastigomycetes; Neocallimastigales
Description: partial large subunit ribosomal RNA
Rfam family: Eukaryotic large subunit ribosomal RNA
Source: RNAcentral